This 172-nucleotide ribosomal RNA is filed under the name uncultured Escherichia sp. RNAcentral describes it as "partial 16S ribosomal RNA". It matches the Rfam family "Bacterial small subunit ribosomal RNA", at positions 323 to 491 of the family's 1533-position model. Lineage: Bacteria; Pseudomonadati; Pseudomonadota; Gammaproteobacteria; Enterobacterales; Enterobacteriaceae. The record is from RNAcentral.
GGCACGGGGGGCCUACGGGAGGCAGCAGUGGGGAAUAUUGCACAAUGGGCGCAAGCCUGAUGCAGCCAUGCCGCGUGUAUGAAGAAGGCCUUCGGGUUGUAAAGUACUUUCAGCGGGGAGGAAGGGAGUAAAGUUAAUACCUUUGCUCAUUGACGUUACCCGCAGAAGAAGC